AAGUAACACGUGGACAAUCUGCCCCCCGGCCCGGGAUAGCCCAGGGAAACCUGGAUUAAUACCGGAUGAGACGGGACCCGCGAAGGCGGGACCCGGGAAAGGCGCUGCGGCGCCGCCGGGGGAUGAGUCUGCGUCCCAUUAGCUAGACGGCGGGGUAACGGCCCACCGUGGCGACGAUGGGUAGCCGGCCUGAGAGGGUGGACGGCCACAUUGGAACUGAGACACGGUCCAGACUCCUACGGGAGGCAGCAGCUAAGAAUCUUCCGCAAUGGGCGAAAGCCUGACGGAGCGAACCGCCGCGUGAACGAAGAAGGCCGUGAGGUUGUAAAGUUCUUUUCGGGAGGGGGAACAACCGUGGCAGGGAAUGGCCGCGGGAUGACGUGAAUCCCGGAAUAAGCCCCGGCUAACUACGUGCCAGCAGCAGC
Molecule: ribosomal RNA, 425 nt
Filed under: uncultured bacterium
Lineage: Bacteria
Description: bacterial SSU rRNA
Rfam family: Bacterial small subunit ribosomal RNA
Source: RNAcentral